UAAAUAAAAAUCGAGGUGUUGCUUUUUUGCGACGUCAUCGGAAUUGGGUUAUCUUUCGUCCCUCUGGAUUUAAGAGACCUAAAAUUGAUACCUUGUGCAUCUCAAGACGUACAUAAGAAUUAUAUUUUUUAUCCGUCCGGAGUGCCAAUUUUUUAUUAGGUAUGACCAUUUUUUGUGGUAUCGUGCCUAUAACAAAACUCAU
This 202-nucleotide unclassified non-coding RNA is filed under the name uncultured Glomeraceae. RNAcentral's name for it is "sequence contains ITS2". The record is from RNAcentral. Lineage: Eukaryota; Fungi; Glomeromycota; Glomeromycetes; Glomerales; Glomeraceae.